CUCUUAUGAUUUUUUUUUCCUUGCUCAGAAGAAAUGAAGCAAUUCCCAUAAUCAUGCUUUGAUGAUGAUGAAAGUUGCAGUCAUCACUGUUUCUAAUUGACAGUUUGGGAGGCUUAGGAUAAUAAUUCACUUAAAUGCCUGCAAAUUGAAGUAUGUCAGCACUUUCCUAGGACAUUCCCAAGUAAAAUAAUAUGACUGGUGCAGGACAUUUGUCAUGUGGGUACAUCUUGGCCAGCUGUUUAUGUUUCCUCUAAGUGCAGUACACACACAUCAAAGCUGGAUUAAGAAAGACCUAGAAUGCCACAACACUCAGGCAUAUUCAGAGAAAUGCAGCAAUACAUCACAUUUAUCUGGCAUAUUUUCUCUAAAGAAAAUUUGACAAGUAUGAGUCCCAUCAGACCUGUGUGAGGCAGGUAGGUAUUAUAGCCAUUGUGGAGAUGGGAAGCCAAAAGCCUGGGGAAAGACCUUCUACUUAGUGGUUUGAUGCCCCCUCACAAAUUCUACCAGCUGCAGGUGGAGCCUUCUCUUUUCAGCACUUUUGAAAAGCCAGACAGUAGCUGGGUUUACUCAAAUCUGCAGUGGCUGUAAAUGUGAAAUCUGGGAUUAGGACACUCAGGAUCCUGAUUUUUUCAGAGCACUGCUACAGAGCUCUGAUCCCACAAGGCACUUGCCUAAUUUCAAGCAUAAAUUUCCCAUUAAGGAUGCUACUGUCAUGCUUAAAGCUAGGCACAUGCUUAAGUGCUUUGCUAGACUGGGGAGAUCCCUUUUUUAUGCAAACAUAGGCACAGAUUGUGCUGGAGAGAAAUGGACACUAAAUGAUUUUCUGUCCUUAUCAAUUGUAGGGCACUGCCAAGCAGUAGACAAAAACCUCUCUACUGUCUCCUUUACAUUCUGUGGCUAAGCACUGAGAUGACUGAGGAUGUGACUUUUCCAAAAUAACAAGUAAGUAUGUGCCUGAAGCAUGAUCAUGUAUCUGUAGCUUCUCCUGCUAACUGGCUGGAACUGAUGGUAGAGACAAGAUGAUUAAAAAAAUUACUCAUCACAAAAGGGUCAGACAUGAGUAACCAGGAUGAGGUGUUCACCUGUCUUCAUACACAACUUUUGAGAUGAUUUUAGGUGACACAUGCCCAGUCAAGUAUUAUGAGUUACA
Molecule: long non-coding RNA, 1150 nt
Filed under: Ficedula albicollis (Collared flycatcher)
Lineage: Eukaryota; Metazoa; Chordata; Aves; Passeriformes; Muscicapidae
Description: lncRNA (ENSFALG00000028002.1)
Source: RNAcentral